This 468-nucleotide ribosomal RNA is filed under the name uncultured bacterium. Its description in RNAcentral is "partial 16S ribosomal RNA". It matches the Rfam family "Bacterial small subunit ribosomal RNA", at positions 29 to 507 of the family's 1533-position model. The record is from RNAcentral.
ACGGACGCUGGCGGCGUGCUUAACACAUGCAAGUCGAACGGUGAAGCGAGUGCUUGCACUCGUGGAUCAGUGGCGAACGGGUGAGUAACACGUGAGUAACCUGCCCAUCACUCUGGGAUAAGCACUGGAAACGGUGUCUAAUACUGGAUACGACCAACCCUUGCAUGGGGUGUUGGUGGAAAGAUUUAUCGGUGAUGGAUGGACUCGCGGCCUAUCAGCUUGUUGGCGGGGUAAUGGCCCACCAAGGCGACGACGGGUAGCCGGCCUGAGAGGGUGACCGGCCACACUGGGACUGAGACACGGCCCAGACUCCUACGGGAGGCAGCAGUGGGGAAUAUUGCACAAUGGGCGAAAGCCUGAUGCAGCGACGCCGCGUGAGGGAUGACGGCCUUCGGGUUGUAAACCUCUUUCAGCAGGGAAGAAGCGAAAGUGACGGUACCUGCAGAAGAAGCACCGGCUAACUACGUG